GACGAACGCUGGCGGCGUGCUUAACACAUGCAAGUCGAACGGAAAGGCCCUGCUUUUGUGGGGUGCUCGAGUGGCGAACGGGUGAGUAACACGUGAGUAACCUGCCCUUGACUUUGGGAUAACUUCAGGAAACUGGGGCUAAUACCGGAUAGGAGCUCCUGCUGCAUGGUGGGGGUGGGAAAGUUUCGGCGGUUGGGGAUGGACUCGCGGCUUAUCAGCUUGUUGGUGGGGUAGUGGCUUACCAAGGCUUUGACGGGUAGCCGGCCUGAGAGGGUGACCGGCCACAUUGGGACUGAGAGACGGCCCAGACUGCUACGGGAGGCAGCAGUGGGGAAUAUUGCACAAUGGGCGGAAGCCUGAUGCAGCAACGCCGCGUGCGGGAUGACGGCCUUCGGGUUGUAAACCGCUUUCGCCUGUGACGAAGCGUGAGUGACGGUAAUGGGUAAAGAAGCACCGGCUAACUACGUG
This 468-nucleotide ribosomal RNA is filed under the name uncultured bacterium. RNAcentral's name for it is "partial 16S ribosomal RNA". It matches the Rfam family "Bacterial small subunit ribosomal RNA", at positions 28 to 507 of the family's 1533-position model. The record is from RNAcentral.